GGGUUAGGAGUGCAAAUUAGUAAAAAUUACCUCAAGAAGACGAAAGUUGAUACCCGAAGAGGACCAGUUAUGAACCUGGGUCGAAAUCAGAUCCCAAGGCACAUAACCAUACUCUGACGAGGAUUCAAGGAUUCCUUGGCAGAUCGGAGAGUGGGGUUUGAUAGAAGAUUGCAUAGGGUUUCUAUAGGCAUUGAUUUUGGGUGAUUUGGAGUUGUUAUGACUUUGUAAGAGCUUUGCAAAGUCAAGGUUUCUUACGGAUGAUUUGGGUUUUAUGAAAUAAAAUAAGGUUUAUGUUUUGGGUGAUUUCAAGAGUUUUGUAAUAGAUCUAUAAAUGAAAUUUUUUGGGUUUAUGGUUAUAGUUGUGUUUAAUAUGUAUCAUAAAAUUAAGCUCGAUCUAACGGUUAAAUUGAGGAAUAUUGAGGUUUAAGUGGGUCAAGGUCUCAGAAAGUAGAACUUUAGGACCAGUGGGGGUUUUUAAUAUUACUUGCAAUCAACUAAUUGGAUUAGAAUGAAACUUAUGUAAGAGGAUAUGAGACUUGUUUUUCUAUGC
RNAcentral lists this long non-coding RNA (550 nucleotides) under Physcomitrium patens. RNAcentral's name for it is "long non-coding RNA (PPAT_LNC001679)". Lineage: Eukaryota; Viridiplantae; Streptophyta; Bryopsida; Funariales; Funariaceae. The record is from RNAcentral.